Molecule: unclassified non-coding RNA, 413 nt
Filed under: Hevea brasiliensis (rubber tree)
Lineage: Eukaryota; Viridiplantae; Streptophyta; Magnoliopsida; Malpighiales; Euphorbiaceae
Source: RNAcentral
UCUCUUUACAAGUGUCUUGAAGCAUUUUUGAAGGAGGAACCUCUUGGACCAGAUGACAUGUGGUUUUGUCCAAGUUGUAAGAAGCAUCAUCAAGCCAGUAAACAAUUAGAUCUUUGGAGACUGCCAGAGAUUCUGGUUGUUCAUCUAAAAAGGUUCUCAUAUACUCGAUUUAUGAAGAACAAGCUUGAGGCGUAUGUUGACUUCCCUGUUGAUGAUCUAGAUUUGUCAGCUUACAUUUCAUACAAGAAUGGCCAAUCAUCUCAUCGUUACAUGCUUUAUGCUAUCAGUAAUCACUAUGGAAGCAUGGGAGGCGGGCAUUACACUGCUUUUGUCCAUCAUGGGGGUGAUCGCUGGUAUGACUUCGACGAUAGCCAAGUUCAUCCAAUCAGUCAGGACAAGAUAAAGACUUCAGC